RNAcentral lists this transfer RNA (23 nucleotides) under Pristimantis appendiculatus (Pacific robber frog). RNAcentral describes it as "partial tRNA-Phe". The record is from RNAcentral. Lineage: Eukaryota; Metazoa; Chordata; Amphibia; Anura; Strabomantidae.
CGGAUCUUUAUAAAUCCUCUAGA